UCAAAAAAUUUAAAUCAUCAAUUUUAUCAUCCUCACGAACUAACGUAGCAGUUAACCCAAGCUUUGUGUGAGCGGCAAUUGUGGUGACAACUCGCCGAAACAUGGCAGCAGGAACCACAUGUACUUCGUCUAAUAGGAUAAACCCCCAUUCACGUCCCGUAAGAAAAUCCAUCAUUUUUUGAGAAUCAUAGGAUCUAUUCCUGGUAUUGGCAACCAUUGAGUACGUGGAGACAACCACACCUGCUUCGCUGUGAAACCGUUCUUUGUGAUCAGCAGUAAAAACCGCAAUGUGAUCAGGCUUGAUGUUGCUCCACUGUAAAAAUUGUUGACGCCAUUGCAUUACCGAAACAGAACUGGUGCAAAGCACGAUUACUGAUUUUUUGAUAGUACAAGCCGCUGUGAUACCAACCAAGGUUUUACCAGCUCCACAUGGUAAUACAAUAAUUCCACUUCGAGCUCUACCAUUUCCAAACAUUUUACUAAGACUCUUUUCUUGGUAUGGACGAAUUUGAGUGCUUGGCUUAAGGUCUAUAGGAAGAUCUGGAUUGAUGUUGUCAUUACGAAAAUCGUACUCUUCCAAUAAGGGAUAAUCAAUCUCUGCACAUCUCUUCUUGAUAGUUUCCACUGAAGAGUGCUUAAUUUCGAAAAGAUGAACGGCAUCUUCAUCAUCUUCCUCUUCCUGUAAGCCUACUACUGCCGAAAACAGUUCAUCAGAUGAACUUUUCUCAGCAGUUUCUUUUGAGGAAUCAUUGGUGAUAUCUUUUUUGUCUUCCACAUUAUCUUCAUUGGAAGGCUUUGAAGACUUCUGCUUGCUAGACUGGGUAGAAUAAUCGAUUCGAAGAGGGCCUAUGACAGGAUCUCUUAAUAACAGUCGUAAAACACUUGCAUCUCCACUUUCAAUAAAAUAUCUGUUUUUCUUCAAGACCAGUUUGACCUUACCGUAAGAGACAGUACAAGCGCGGAUAAAGUCUACGAUAGAAGGAGGAAUUGGGGUUUUUGAAAGUCUAUCAAGGACUGCUAUUAUAUCUUCAGUUUUUAACCCAACGCUAACAGCAGCAUAAAGUGAAUAUGCAGUAAUUCUAUACUCAUGAAUGAAAGCGGGUCGAGAAACUGGCUCUGAAAUUGUUACCAAGAAGUCGAUAGCUUGCUCAGCCAAUGGGCUGAAUGCUUCAAGGAUAAUUCUACCAUCAAUUGGAUUAAUCCAAAGUGGCCUAGCCGUAUGAUCCAAUUUUAAACCUAGUAAAUUAGAAAAAUCGUUUUGGCCAAACAUAGCAGAAAUCCCAGAUUGGCGGGCUUCAUUGCUAUUAGUCGUGGUUUGUGCUUUAGUUUUAUUGUUGUUUAUACGAAUCCUGGGUGCAGGCUUGUAAGAAUCAUCAUCCUCUUCACCGUAAUUGUCAACAUCGCUGUAAUCGCUAUAUUCUUCUAAAUCCUCGUCAGGUGUCCCUUCCCUUGCAUUAUUUUUUCUCUUUAGGCU
Non-coding RNA from Schizosaccharomyces pombe (fission yeast), 1474 nucleotides. NCBI's taxonomy places the organism in Eukaryota, Fungi, Ascomycota, Schizosaccharomycetes, Schizosaccharomycetales, Schizosaccharomycetaceae. The record is from the annotation of a GenBank genome assembly.